This 1251-nucleotide ribosomal RNA is filed under the name metagenome. RNAcentral's name for it is "bacterial LSU rRNA". It matches the Rfam family "Bacterial large subunit ribosomal RNA", at positions 1658 to 2925 of the family's 2925-position model. The record is from RNAcentral.
UACAGGAGGGCGAGGCGAAUAGCCUCAGGCGCGCGAGAGAACCCUACGUGAAGGAACUCGGCAAAUUAACCCCGUAAGUUCGCGAUAAGGGGUGCCCCCCGUAAGGGGGGCCACAGGAAAACGACAGCUGCGACUGUUUACUAAAAACACAGGUCUCUGCGAAGUCGUCAAAGACGACGUAUAGGGACUGACGCUUGCCCGCUGUUGGAACGUUAAGGUGACUGGUUAGCCGCAAGGCGAGGCUGGGAACCGAAGCGCCAAUGAAGGGCGGCCGUAACUAUGACGGUCCUAAGGUAGCGAAAUUCCUUGUCGGGUAAGUUCCGACCCGCACGAAUAGCGUAACGACAGCUGUACUGUCUCCACGAGGGACUCGGCGAAAUUGUAGUUGUGGUGAAGAUGCCACAUACCCGCACCAAGACGGAAAGACCCCGUGAACCUUUACUGUAACCUAAUACUGGCUCUAGGUUCGCCAUGUGUAGCAUAGGUGGGAGACGUUAAUGUCGGGGGCGCCAGCCUCCGAAUAGUCUUCAGUGAAAUACCACUCUUGGCGAUCUUGGAGUCUAACCUGCGACCGUUAUCCGGCGUGGGAACAGUGUUAGGCGGGCAGUUUGACUGGGGCGGUCUCCUCCUAAAAGGUAACGGAGGAGUGCAAAGGUACCCUCAAUGCGGUUGGCAAUCGCAUGAAGAGCGUAAAGGUAUAAGGGUGCUUGACUGCGAGACACAUAGAUCGAGCAGGUACGAAAGUAGGUCUUAGUGAUCCGGUGGUCCCGUGUGGAAGGGCCAUCGCUCAUCAGAUAAAAGGUACUCCGGGGAUAACAGGCUGAUCACGCCCAAGAGUCCAUAUCGACGGCGUGGUUUGGCACCUCGAUGUCGGCUCAUCGCAUCCUGGGGCUGAAGGCGGUCCCAAGGGUUGGUCUGUUCGCCCAUUAAAGCGGUACGUGAGCUGGGUUUAGACCGUCGUGAGACAGGUCGGUCCCUAUCUGGUGUGGGCGCAGGAUGAUUGCGGAGACUCUUUCCUAGUACGAGAGGAUUGGAAAGAACGGACCUCUGGUGUGCCAGUUGUCGCGCUAGCGGCAUCGCUGGAUAGCUAUGUCCGGGCUGGAUAAGCGCUGAAAGCAUCUAAGUGCGAAGCCAACUCCAAGACUGGUCAUCCCAUGAGACACCUGGUAGACCACCAGGUUGAUAGGCCGGAAGUGUAAGGACAGCAAUGUUCUCAGCUAACCGGUACUAACCAGUCGAUCGGCUUGAUCC